This 809-nucleotide long non-coding RNA is filed under the name Ananas comosus (pineapple). Its description in RNAcentral is "long non-coding RNA (ACOM_LNC036857)". Lineage: Eukaryota; Viridiplantae; Streptophyta; Magnoliopsida; Poales; Bromeliaceae. The record is from RNAcentral.
CUACUAUGCUAUUAGAAGCACGGAGCCUUCCGUGCUUCCACCUCGUUUUCAAUGUUGUGACUUUCGAAUUGUCGAUCGGCUCCGCUAAACAUGAUCUAGAGUAUUUGAAGUACCUAGAAAAUAAAUUUUAUGAUUUUACGAUAUCAUUUGCCUAGUGAACGAAGGAGCUCAAAAUCAACGGCUGAAAAUAAAAAUCUUACAAAAUGUAAUAAUAUAACAUUAAAAUUUUAAAUCAAAGAUAUUGAUCUUGUUUUAUAUAGUAUAAAGAAUUUUCUAUCAAAAUUUUACGUGAUUUGGAUAUUUCUACACCGUUAANUAUAUAUAUAUACUGUUGGGCUAAUUCGGCGCGGACAGCUGGCAAGCCGGGACUAUAUCCGUGAUCCAGGUCAAAACGGUGGACCGGGAGAAUAUAAGACGCGCCAGAAGAUAUGAGCCGCAUCUGUUCAAAAAGUUGUAACAACCGCAAGCGGUUAUGAGCAGUUCCAAUCGGCCGAAGGUGGUCCUCCAAAUCUGGAGAUAGUGGCCGAUCGUGCAGUGACAAUAACUGAACGCAAGGGCAAUUUUAUAAAUAGAGAUACCGCACCCUGAAAAAGCGUCUUCGUCCCUGCGCACAAAAGACCACCUUUAUUUUCCUGCAUCUUUCUUUCCUGCAUUUACCGCUUUUUAUAGGAGUAGCUCUCGUAACUUAGCAUACUUGGAGUCUGUCUGCCCUACGGGCAUCACUCUCCUGUUCUUUUACUUGGAGUCUGUCUGCCCUACGGGCAUCACUCCCCUGUUCUUGUACGUCUAUUCAAUAGAAAGUCGUUUUU